Dipodomys ordii (Ord's kangaroo rat) is the source of this 105-nucleotide small nuclear RNA. The record is from Ensembl. Lineage: Eukaryota; Metazoa; Chordata; Mammalia; Rodentia; Heteromyidae.
CUGCUCACUUCAGUAGCACAUAUACUAAAACUGGAAUGAUACACAGAAUUAGUAUGGCCCCUGCACAAGGAUGACACACAAAUUUGUGAAGCAUUCCAUAUUUCU